RNAcentral lists this ribosomal RNA (444 nucleotides) under uncultured bacterium. RNAcentral describes it as "partial 16S ribosomal RNA". It matches the Rfam family "Bacterial small subunit ribosomal RNA", at positions 338 to 795 of the family's 1533-position model. The record is from RNAcentral.
CCUACGGGGAGGCAGCAGUGGGGAAUAUUGGGCAAUGGGCGCAAGCCUGACCCAGCAACGCCGCGUGAAGGAAGAAGGCUUUCGGGUUGUAAACUUCUUUUCUGAGGGACGAAGAAAGUGACGGUACCACAGGAAUAAGCAACGACUAACUACGUGCCAGCAGCCGCGGUAAUACGUAGGGGGAAAGCGUUAUCCGGAUUUAUUGGGUGUAAAGGGCGUGUAGGCGGGAAAGCAAGUCAGCUGUGAAAACUCUGGGCUCAACCCCUAGCCUGCCGUUGAAACUGGUUUUCUUGAGUGCUGGAGAGGCAAGCGGAAUUCCGGGUGUAGCGGUGAAAUGCGUAGAUAUACGGAGGAACACCAGUGGCGAAGGCGGAUUACUGGACAGUAACUGACGCUGAGGCGCGAAAGCGUGGGGAGCAAACAGGAUUAGAUACCCCUGUAGUC